RNAcentral lists this ribosomal RNA (875 nucleotides) under uncultured bacterium. RNAcentral's name for it is "bacterial SSU rRNA". It matches the Rfam family "Bacterial small subunit ribosomal RNA", at positions 96 to 953 of the family's 1533-position model. The record is from RNAcentral.
UGGCGCACGGGUGAGUAACACGUAGGUAACCUGCCCCAGAGAUUGGGAUAACGGAUCGAAAGGUCCGCUAAUACCAGAUACGCCUGUGAGGACCUCGCGGUCCUCGCGGGGAAAUGAUGGCCUCUGCCUGCAAGCCAUCGCUCCGGGAGGGGCCUUCGUCCUAUUAGCUAGUUGGCGGGGUAACGGCCCACCAAGGCGAUGAUGGGUAGCCGGCUUGAGAGAGCGGUCGGCCACACUGGAACUGAGACACGGUCCAGACUCCUACGGGAGGCAGCAGUAGGGAAUUUUCCGCAAUGGGCGAAAGCCUGACGGAGCGACGCCGCGUGAGCGAUGAAGGCCUUCGGGUUGUAAAGCUCUGUCUAGGGAGAAGAAAGGCACGUGCACGAAUAGGGCACGUGCCUGACGGUACCUCUGGAGGAAGCCCCGGCUAAUUACGUGCCAGCAGCCGCGGUAAUACGUAAGGGGCGAGCGUUGUCCGGAAUCACUGGGCGUAAAGGACGCGUAGGCGGCUGAGUAAGUCAGGGGUGAAAGCUGUGAGCUCAACUCACAAAUUGCUUCUGAAACUACUCGGCUUGAGUUCUGCAGGGGAAAGUGGAAUUCACGGUGUAGCGGUGAAAUGCGUAGAUAUCGUGGAGAACACCCGUGGCGAAGGCGGCUUUCUGGGCAGACACUGACGCUGAGGCGUGAAAGCUAGGGGAGCGAACAGGAUUAGAUACUCCUGGUAGUCCUAGCUGUAAACGGUGAGUACUAGUGUCGGGGAGUGUAUCCUCGGUGCCGCCGCUACGCAUUAAGUACUCCGCCUGGGGACUACGCCGCAAGGUUAAACUCAAGGAAUUGACGGGGCUCGCACAGCGGUGGAGUAUGUGGUUCAUUCG